This 71-nucleotide transfer RNA is filed under the name Loxodonta africana (African savanna elephant). It matches the Rfam family "tRNA". From Rfam's summary of the family: Transfer RNA (tRNA) molecules are approximately 80 nucleotides in length. Their secondary structure includes four short double-helical elements and three loops (D, anti-codon, and T loops). Lineage: Eukaryota; Metazoa; Chordata; Mammalia; Proboscidea; Elephantidae. The record is from Rfam by way of RNAcentral.
GCAUUGGUGGGUGAGUGGUAGCUUUCCCACCUCCUGUGCGGGAGACCUGGGUUCCAUUCCCGGCCAAUGUA